RNAcentral lists this ribosomal RNA (488 nucleotides) under uncultured bacterium. Its description in RNAcentral is "partial 16S ribosomal RNA". It matches the Rfam family "Bacterial small subunit ribosomal RNA", at positions 28 to 506 of the family's 1533-position model. The record is from RNAcentral.
GACGAACGCUGGCGGCGUGCUUAACACAUGCAAGUCGAACGGAAAGGCCCCCAUCUUGGUGGGGGUGCUCGAGUGGCGAACGGGUGAGUAACACGUGGGUGAUCUGCCCUGUACUUCGGGAUAAGCUUGGGAAACUGGGUCUAAUACCGGAUAGGACCAUGGUUUAGUGUCUCAUGGUGGAAAGAUUAUUGUUUUGGUGCAGGAUGAGCUCGCGGCCUAUCAGCUUGUUGGUGGGGUAAUGGCCUACCAAGGCGUCGACGGGUAGCCGGCCUGAGAGGGUGGACGGCCACAUUGGGACUGAGAUACGGCCCAGACGCCUACGGGAGGAAGCAGUGGGGAAUAUUGCACAAUGGGCGCAAGCCUGAUGCAGCGACGCCGCGUGGGGGAUGACGGCCUUCGGGUUGUAAACUCCUUUCGUUAGGGACGAAGCCGCACUUUUUUUGGGUGUGGUGACGGUACCUUUGUUAAGAAGCACCGGCUAACUACGU